RNAcentral lists this ribosomal RNA (237 nucleotides) under Pseudomonas aeruginosa. Its description in RNAcentral is "partial 23S ribosomal RNA". It matches the Rfam family "Bacterial large subunit ribosomal RNA", at positions 2712 to 2925 of the family's 2925-position model. The record is from RNAcentral. Lineage: Bacteria; Pseudomonadati; Pseudomonadota; Gammaproteobacteria; Pseudomonadales; Pseudomonadaceae.
GUGUACCGGUUGUGACGCCAGUCGCAUCGCCGGGUAGCUAUGUUCGGAAUGGAUAACCGCUGAAAGCAUCUAAGCGGGAAGCCUACCUCAAGAUAAGAUUUCCCUAGGACUUUAUGUCCUCUAAAGAGCCGUUCGAGACUAGGACGUUGAUAGGUUGGAUGUGGAAGCAUAGUGAUAUGUGAAGCUGACCAAUACUAAUUGCUCGUGAGGCUUGACUAUACAACACCCAAGCAGUUG